Molecule: ribosomal RNA, 775 nt
Filed under: uncultured Neocallimastigales
Lineage: Eukaryota; Fungi; Neocallimastigomycota; Neocallimastigomycetes; Neocallimastigales
Description: partial large subunit ribosomal RNA
Rfam family: Eukaryotic large subunit ribosomal RNA
Source: RNAcentral
CGUCUAUAUACGUAUAGCAUAUCAAUAAGCGGAGGAAAAGAAACUAACUAGGAUUCCCUCAGUAACGGCGAGUGAAGCGGGAAGAGCUCAAAUUUGAAAUCUUCAAGGUUCUACCUUGACGAAUUGUAGUUUAAAGAAGUGUUUUCUGUUGGAGUUUUGGUAAAAGUUCUUUGGAAUAGGACAUCAUAGAGGGUGAGAAUCCCGUAUUUGACCAUUAUUUCCAACUUUGUGAUACACUUUCAAAGAGUCGGAUUGUUUGGGAAUGCAGUCCAAAAUGGGUGGUAAAUUUCAUCUAAAGCUAAAUACUGGCGAGAGACCGAUAGCGAACAAGUACCGUGAGGGAAAGAUGAAAAGAACUUUGAAAAGAGAGUUAAACAGUACGUGAAAUUGUCAAAAGGGAAGCGUUUGACACCAGUGUUGUUUUCUCGAAAAUCAAUUAAAAAUGGUGGGAUUCUGUGUUGUAUUGACUUUAUCAGCUUUCUGCACUCUUUUUCCUAUCUUUUUUAAUGCACUUUUCGUUUAACAAGUCAACAUCAAUUUCUUUUGUUGUAAAAGAGUCAUUGGAAGGUGGCUUUCUUUUCGGAGAAAGUGUUUAUAGCCUUUGGCUUCUGCAAUCGGAGAGAUUGAGGUCUGCAGCGUAGAUCCUUCGGGGUUAGAUGCAUUUGUGCUAAGUUAUAGCCUUUCAUAGACAACUUGUUGACUAUGAUCAGUCAUGUAGCUUACUCGCUUAUGCUAUUUUACCUACGCUUAGGAUGUUGAAGAUAUGCGCGACACG